Molecule: ribosomal RNA, 105 nt
Filed under: uncultured bacterium
Lineage: Bacteria
Description: partial 16S ribosomal RNA
Rfam family: Bacterial small subunit ribosomal RNA
Source: RNAcentral
CUCCUACGGGAGGCAGCAGUGGGGAAUUUUGGACAAUGGGGGCAACCCUGAUCCAGCAAUGCCGCGUGAGUGAAGAAGGCCUUCGGGUUGUAAAGCUCUUUUGUC